CCGGCCCCCUGCCGGCCCCCUGCCGGCCCCCUCCCGGGAGAGGUGGUCACCUAAACACCAGCUCCCUCUUUGCCAGCAGCUUCUCAAGUCAGCAUUUGGAGCUGCUCCCAGCCUCUGCAGCCUACCGUGGAGUUAACACCCACCCAUACGGCCUGAAGUUCACAAUUCCCUGGGUCUGGCAGAGGUCUCACGUUGGGAGACAGGCAGCAAAUAUUGUGACUCACGGCAGACAGAGUAGCUGCUGUGGUCUGCGCCUGUGCUCUCUGUUGGGGAGGAUUUUCUCCUGGUGGACGGCUAGAAGCCUGUCGAGUUAGGGGAGCUGGCUGUGGGUCGGCACACAGUCGGGCCCCCGCUGGCCAUCCCAGGGUGCUUGGGCCAGCCCCUUUGCCUCUCCAGGGCUCCGUUUUUCUUUCAGCUCCCUGGCAAGAGCUUUUGGUAAGGCGCCUAGCUCGGGGUAGGUGCCGAGCAGGCACCCCCUUCCCCAGCCCUUGCUGAAAGCUGGUCGGGUCCAGCCCCUUGACUGUCUCUUAGCACCCUACUGUGUGCCAGGCCCAGUCACUGUCUUAGAUGAGGAAACGGAGGCCCAGAGGGGUAAAGCAACAUGCCUACAAUAUGUUUGUACCCUAAUUCCCAGGCCACAGUCACAUUUCCUCCUAAUUGUCCCCCAAAUGUCCAGGAUCCUGUCCGGGACCACACAUCUGGCUGUUAUGGCCCUAAAUUCUCCCCCCCCCCCCUUUUUUUUUUUCUCCAUAACACGGUUUACUCGAGGCCUGGCCGGCUAUCCUGCAGAACGUCCCAUCGUCUGCAUUGUCCAUCAGAGUCCAGCCCCUCCCGGUGGCUCCGUCAGCUCCUGAAUUGCUAACAGCCGGCCUUCCUGAGCACCUGCUAUACGCCCAGCGUGGUGCGUGGUGCUGUUUGCCUUAUCCCUGUGAACCCGCUUGGGUCAGUGAGAUAAAGAUGCUGAGGCUCAGCGAGAUGAGGUGAUGUGCCCGAGGCCAGCCAGCUGGACACCAGUCACACGGGAUCAGGGCCCACGCUGAUGACCUGAUCUUACCUCGAUGACAUCUGCUGUGACCAAAUAAGGUCACAUUCACAGGUACCAGGGGUCAGGGCUUCGCCGCGUCUUUUGGUGAGGGACACAACGGAACGCCUAACACUCUGAAGGGCAGGCAUUUUCCCGGUUCACGUCUGCAGCUCCCAGCCCUCGCCCAGAGCCCGGUGCGUGUCAGCACUCAGAGCGGGAGGUCACGGGACGAACAAUGAGCCGAUGGAGUCGAGGCGUCCAGCCUCUCCUCCGUGCUGACCCCCACUCCUCUGACAACGCAGCAGCCCCAGCCCAGCCGGCAUCUGGGCCACACAGGUCUCCAGGGCCGCCUUUCCCGUGGGUUGUUCUCUGGAAGAAGUGGUGUUGAUGUCAGCAGAUGCCUGUCACUUUCCUUCCCCAGCAAAAUCUCAACUGUCAGAGUAAGUGAAAUAGUCAUUGCCUAUCCCCGCGUUUGAGAUUUUAUUGACAGUUUCAUUGUCACCCAAAAAAACCUCCUUUUCUCCGUUGGCAUUUUUAUCAGGUGAUUCUGGGGGCAGGAGGGGGAUGAAGGGCUGGCUCCUGAAAACGGGUUUUGGCAGGUGGUGGGGGCUGGUUCCCCGGCCUGGGGGCAGCGCGGGCAGAAGACCCCCACGGUGGGCUCCACCGUGCCUCGGCUCCCGCCAAAAACUGCUGGGUACCCUGUCCAGGGGGCAGGAGGGAAGUGAGAGAUUGGGGGGCCCCUGGAAAUAGCCACGGUGGCCGAACGGGGCUGCCCAGUUUGGUGGGUCUUUAGGUCCCUCUCCUGCCUUCCCCAGUGGGCACUGGGGAGGCAUCCGGGGGCUGGGGUGAGAGCAUUCAGAAUCAGACCACGUGGGUGCAGUUCUCAGCUCAGCGAUAUGUACUUUAGGGCAAGUACUUUGCCCCACCGAUCCUCAGUGACCCCAUCUGUUAAAUGGGGGUAGUAGCAGGUAAAUUCCAUUGGCUGAGGCUUCUUUGGACUGAGUACCCAUUACCUGGUUCGGUAGGUAUCAGCUCACCAGAAUCCAGACAGCCGGAUGCCCUCAGGAUCUUCACUUUAAUGGUGCAGAGAGGCAAGGUGGCCCGGCCAAGGCCGGCCACCUCAGCUGGGAGGUGGCGAGAAUGGUUUGAACCCAGAAUGUGAGCCUCCCAGCUCACCCGUGACUCCACCUCGUAGGAUUUGUGGCAGAGUGCAGGCACCCAGGAAAAAGCUGUUUGCUGUUCUGAUCGUCAUUGUUGUCAUUGUUGUCGAAUGGGCCCCUCGGCAGCCACCCUGUCCCUGGAGCUCGUGGGUGGGUGUUGGCCCAGGGGACGUGGAACGCGCUCAGGGGUUGCACGGGGGCCGGGGACCCAGCCAGAAGUUCCACCCCGCUCUGUGCCAUGACCCCUUCUGCGUCCCCCCUCCCCGGCCCCCAGCAGUGCUGCAGGUGGGACGGUCAGUUACCAAGCGGGCAAGGGCAGCUGGCUAGGGUGGCAACCCCAGGCCUUGCAAAGCUGCUUCGCCGCAUCCAAGCUGCGCAGAUGGGAAACGAGGCCCGGAGAGCCGCCCCUGCCUGGGGCUGCCCAGCCAGGCAGGUGACUACAGCAGUGAAGUUAAAACAACGGAUUCUCGAGUCAACUGGAUCUGAGUUUGAGUUCUGCUGCGCCCACUGUGCCUGGGACGAGUCUCGCUGGGGCGCAGCUUCCUCCUCUGUCCAGUGAGGAAAUAGAAGUGCCCCUCCCAGAGGGGGGCAAGACCUCGAUGACGCUGCACAGAAAUUAGCACAACGGGGCGCCUGGGUGGCUCAGUCCGUUAAGCGUCCGACUUCGGCUCAGGUCAUGAUCU
Herpailurus yagouaroundi (jaguarundi) is the source of this 2867-nucleotide long non-coding RNA. RefSeq lists it as uncharacterized. NCBI's taxonomy places the organism in Eukaryota, Metazoa, Chordata, Mammalia, Carnivora, Felidae. The record is from RefSeq and is a predicted model, not a curated record. The transcript has 3 exons.